This 253-nucleotide ribosomal RNA is filed under the name uncultured bacterium. RNAcentral's name for it is "partial 16S ribosomal RNA". It matches the Rfam family "Bacterial small subunit ribosomal RNA", at positions 524 to 776 of the family's 1533-position model. The record is from RNAcentral.
UACGUAGGUGGCAAGCGUUGUCCGGAUUUACUGGGCGUAAAGAGCGCGCAGGCGGUCGUUCAAGUCGCGUGUGAAAGCCCCCGGCUCAACUGGGGAGGGUCACGCGAUACUGAUCGACUCGAAGGCAGGAGAGGGUAGUGGAAUUCCUGGUGUAGCGGUGAAAUGCGCAGAUAUCAGGAGGAACACCAAUUGCGAAGGCAGCUCGCUGGGACGUUACUGACGCUGAGACGCGAAAGCGUGGGGAGCAAACAGG